GCGCAGUAGGCAUCGAGUAAUUCGGCGCUGAAAAGGAAGAAGUAGCAGUGAUACAAACUAAGCAGUACUAGCAAGGGCAGCAGUAGUUUACAUUAAAACAGCGUAUACUUAGUUACUUUGCCCUGGAGCACCGUGACAAAGCGCAGAGUCUGGGACAUGGCGGAUAAAGAGGUGUAUGAUGAUGCAGUGGAGGAAAGGGUCAUCAAUGAGGAGUACAAGAUUUGGAAGAAAAACACACCUUUCCUGUACGACCUGGUGAUGACUCAUGCUCUGGAGUGGCCGAGCCUUACUGUGCAGUGGCUUCCAGAUGUCACCAGGCCAGAGGGGAAGGACUACACCGUUCACAGACUGGUUUUGGGGACCCACACGUCAGAUGAGCAGAACCACCUUGUGAUUGCCAGCGUCCAGGUACCAAAUGAUGACGCGCAGUUCGACGCCUCGCACUAUGAUAGCGAGAAAGGAGCAGAGUUCGGUGGAUUCGGUUCAGUAAGUGGGAAAAUCGAGAUCGAGAUCAAGAUCAACCAUGAAGGAGAGGUGAACCGAGCCCGCUACAUGCCCCAGAAUCACUGCAUCAUCGCCACCAAGACGCCCACCUCUGACGUGCUGGUGUUCGACUACAAUAAGCACCCGUCUAAGCCAGAUCCCAGUGGGGAGUGUAGUCCUGACUUGCGGCUGAAAGGCCACCAGAAAGAAGGGUACGGCCUCUCCUGGAAUCCCAACCUCAGCGGCAACCUGCUCAGUGCCUCCGAUGACCACACCAUCUGUCUAUGGGACAUCGGGGCCGGCCCAAAGGAAGGGAAGAUUGUGGAUGCUAAGACCAUCUUCACCGGCCACACAGCAGUGGUGGAAGACGUUUCCUGGCAUUUGCUCCACGAAUCCUUGUUUGGCUCGGUGGCUGACGACCAGAAGCUCAUGAUAUGGGACACUCGGUCCAACAACACAUCCAAAGCCAGCCACGCAGUGGAUGCUCACACUGCUGAGGUCAACUGUCUCAGUUUCAACCCCUACAGCGAGUUCAUCCUUGCCACUGGUUCUGCUGAUAAGACUGUUGCAUUGUGGGAUCUAAGGAACCUCAAACUGAAGCUCCACUCCUUUGAGUCCCACAAAGAUGAAAUUUUCCAGGUACAGUGGUCUCCUCACAAUGAGACCAUCCUGGCCUCCAGCGGCACUGACCGACGUCUCAACGUCUGGGAUCUCAGUAAAAUCGGUGAGGAGCAGUCAGCAGAAGAUGCUGAGGAUGGGCCCCCGGAGCUGCUGUUCAUCCACGGUGGCCACACAGCCAAGAUCUCUGACUUCUCCUGGAACCCCAAUGAACCCUGGGUCAUCUGCUCAGUGUCCGAGGACAACAUCAUGCAAGUCUGGCAGAUGGUGAAUACAGUUUUUCUUUUUGGGAUAGUCAGAAUAUGAUAGCUGCAGUCCCUCCCCACAAACCGUAUGAAACCUGGAGAACAUCCGACCUCAGUCAAAGUGAAUGGAUGAUCCUGUUGAGCUACUUCCUGGUUAAAUUGGCAGAUGUCUGUGGUCUACAGAUGUAUACCUACUUCUUUCUUUCCUGUAGUCAUUUUUGGGCGGUAUUAUUGGCAUCUUAGUUUCCUGACGAACAAUAAUAUGUUGUUGAUGACAUCCUGCCCUUGGGCGGAGAACAUCUACAAUGACGAGGAGCCAGACAACACCCCCGCAUCCGAGCUGGAGGCUCAGGGAUCAUAACCCCGCUGUGCAUGAGUCUCUGUGCAGGCACAACCCCCUCCUCCACUCCCUGAGCUCCAGCCCAGCCUGUCGUUUCCCUCUCUGGCUUACCUCGAGUGCAAAAUGAAAAGUGUGCCCUCCACGUGAAUGUGGAGGGUUGGACACAGCAUGGACAACAACCAUGCUAACAGACAGUAGGAUUCAGUCUCAUCCUGCUUCCACUUCAACAUGGCCCAGGUACCCAAAAGCACUUAAGCACUUGGAAUAGGAGAAGAGUUGACAUUGUUACGUGCUCAGGUGGUAGUAUCUCCAGUGUUGGGGGGGACCUUAUGUGCACAAGGUCCACUGUAAGUUAUUCAGACCAGUUCAUUUUAAAGGGCUCAUGCAUGGAAAAUAUUAAAGUGUUAUUUUACAUUUGGACUUCUGAGUAGCCAGAAAAGCACUAGAAUAGUAGGCGUCCCUAAAGAUGUAAAGGAAACCGAGACAAUAGAAGACUAUCUGAACACUGAAAUGCUUUUGGGAAACCUGAUGUACAUCUGUCCAAACUAUGUGAAACCUAACAAUGGAAAUAUCCAGGAAAACCUUCUUUCAUACCUUAUUUUCUUACUCAUGGCUCUUUUGCAAAAUCUCUUCCUUGGCUGACCUUUGAAGGAACAUUCCCUGCUGUUUGCCUCCUGUCCAUAAGGUACACAAACUCUUCAGUAUUUGGCUUGAUUGAAAGGUGAGGGACUUAAUUAGUGCACUUGAGGGACACGCACAUGUUUUUUCUCUCCUUUGUGUUCUUAGAUAAUGUGAAAUUGUUUUGUUUCCUGCACCACAAAUUGCAAUAAAACUUUUAUAACUUUUCAAAACUAAGUUUCGCAUUUAUGUAAAUCUGAACAUUUUCUGUGACCAAGGACAGGCUCAACAAUCUCAUUAGUACACAUUCUGAGAAACUGCACACAAAUGACAUCUUCCACCCACUUUACUCACACAGAAAAUGACACAAGACCCAAUAAUUACUUGGAGGAAAUAAAUCCAAUUAUUGCAAAUUCUACAAAAUGUUUAUUGAAAAGUAAGACAGGACUAUAAGAACAUUGUACAAUCAAAGAGGGGGGGUGGGCUCAUUAUUUUUUAGUAAAAAAUAAAGCUCUCCGAAGCUAUGGUGACUCAUGCCUCUUCUUUCACAGUUCGUCUCUCCUGCAGAGGUAGAUUCUGACAUUACCUGAGAGUCAAUCUGGGGCAACGCCAAAGAAAGAAGAAAUAGAUGGUGAAAAGUCUCCCCUCGGCUCGGGCCGUGACUAGAGCUGUCUGAACUACUGAAAGAAAAUCACACACACAAACUGCCUGACCCUAUUCUGUUAUAUCCACACAAUGUGAAGAUCAAUUAGAAGUUUAGAAAGGCCUGGAGUCUUAUGACAUUACAGCCAGUCACACACAGGGUGUACGUAUUUAAUGGAAAUGAUUUGUCAGUACCACCCCUCUGAUUCUCACUGACUUUACAAUAGGGCUGCCACUUGAAGAGCUGGAACAGCUUGAAGCUGCAGCAGCUAACUUUUUAAAAAACUGUCACAUUUCCUGAAACCUUCUCUAUGUACCAGCAGUAGUCCAUUAGACAAAUAAUCUGUAAAAAAUCAAAGGUUCCACUGGCUUGUUCCUAGUGCUCCUAAUGGAAUUAGAAAGAAUCCACUGGGCCUGAAUGAAAACCAACCAGAGACGAGAGAUGGUUGAUCAUUGAGUCUCAUUCUCAGCGUUGAUAUUUGACAACCUGGAAAUCUCAACUCUGAAAAUGCCAUUAGGAGCACUAGGAGGAGCCAGAGGAACCUGAUUGUUUCACACAUUAUCAGUCUCAUCUCAUUUAUUUUUUUUUAGCACUUUAAUAAGCACUUCUCACGCCCACUGCGAAUGAUUUCUGAAAGGAUGCUGAUCUUGGAUCAGUCUUGUAAUUAUACCCUCAAAUAAAAAACCUGGAUCCCAAAUAACGAUGCAGAUGAAGCAAUUACAGGGGGAUAAUAUUGAAAAUUAAGUGCUAUAUUCAAAACAUUAACAGUAGCUGCAGUAUGAGAUAUGGCCCAGGUAAUGGAGCAAGCUGGGUUCAAGAAGCCA
Molecule: RNA transcript, 3771 nt
Organism: Morone saxatilis (striped sea-bass)
Lineage: Eukaryota; Metazoa; Chordata; Actinopteri; Moronidae
Gene: rbbp7
Gene name: retinoblastoma binding protein 4, like
Exons: 12
Source: RefSeq, a predicted model, not a curated record